RNAcentral lists this unclassified non-coding RNA (320 nucleotides) under fungal sp. RNAcentral describes it as "partial internal transcribed spacer region". The stretch from base 1 to 46 matches the Rfam family "Eukaryotic small subunit ribosomal RNA", at positions 1786 to 1831 of the family's 1831-position model. Lineage: Eukaryota; Fungi. The record is from RNAcentral.
AAGUCGUAACAAGGUUUCCGUAGGUGAACCUGCGGAAGGAUCAUUAACAUUUUCCAAAACCUAAAAUGGCAUUCGUUCACUACUUACUGUGACGGAUGUUAUACCCCACUUUUAUGAACUUGUUUUACUCUUUCGAAGUUGGAAAAGGGGAAGGGGACGUAACGUCUCUAUCCUUUUUUUUCAAUUUCCUUUUUUUCUUUUUUUUAAAACCCAAAUGAAUCCCAUCUUGACUGAAAACUUUUUUCACGUUGGGUAAUUCCAAUGUUGAAAUAAAACGUUAAUGAGAAAAACAACUCUUAACAACGGAUAUCUUGGCUCUC